CAGUAGCCACGGGAAUACGGAGGGUGCAAGCGUUAAUCGGAAUUACUGGGCGUAUAGCGCACGCAGGCGGUCUGUCAAGUCAGAUGUGAAAUCCCCGGGCUUAACCUGGGAACUGCAUUUGAAACUGGCAGGCUAGAGUCUUGUAGAGGGGGGUAGAAUUCCAGGUGUAGCGGUGAAAUGCGUAGAGAUCUGGAGGAAUACCGGUGGCGAAGGCGGCCCCCUGGACAAAGACUGACGCUCAGGUGCGAAAGCGUGGGGAGCAAACAGGAUUAGAUACCCGGGUAGUCCCUGUCUCUUAUAC
Molecule: ribosomal RNA, 301 nt
Filed under: uncultured bacterium
Lineage: Bacteria
Description: partial 16S ribosomal RNA
Rfam family: Bacterial small subunit ribosomal RNA
Source: RNAcentral